AGCCCUGCACCGCCCGGUCGUCGGAGGCUGCGGGGUCGCUAGCGCCGAGAGCCGGAGCCCUAGGAGUUACGUGCUUUUCUCCUCCGUGACAUCACCUGAGACACUGGUCUGGUAUUAGCCGCCAUGAGAGGACCACGUGAGGAUUUCCCGCCCACUCCCGGAAGCCAGCCCUCUGCUCACACAGACCUGCAUAAUAUUGAGCCUACCAGCAAGUUGCCAUGGAUAAUGGAGGAAGGCCAAAAGGAAAAAAAUGACGUCAAAAUAGAAGAGGGACUAUUUGGGAAAAGAAGGGGUUCCAUGGAAGGAGGGACAAAAGAAAAUAGCGGGAGGGAGUUCUUAUCAAAAUACAUUAUUUAGCCCAGCUUGGUGGCACACGCCUUUAAUGCCAAUAUUAGGGAGGCUGAGGUAGGAGGAUUAUUGUGAGUUCCAGGCCAGCUUGGGGUUAAAGUGAGACCCUACCUCAAAAAACCUAUGUGUAUGCAUGAAAACUGUCACUAAAAAGUUAAGUGGUUAAAAAAA
Long non-coding RNA from Jaculus jaculus (lesser Egyptian jerboa), 519 nucleotides. RefSeq lists it as uncharacterized. The transcript has 3 exons. The record is from RefSeq and is a predicted model, not a curated record. Lineage: Eukaryota; Metazoa; Chordata; Mammalia; Rodentia; Dipodidae.